RNAcentral lists this long non-coding RNA (199 nucleotides) under Microtus ochrogaster (prairie vole). RNAcentral describes it as "Rhabdomyosarcoma 2 associated transcript conserved region 6 (ENSMOCG00000010639.1)". It matches the Rfam family "Rhabdomyosarcoma 2 associated transcript conserved region 6". The record is from RNAcentral. Lineage: Eukaryota; Metazoa; Chordata; Mammalia; Rodentia; Cricetidae.
GGGUGACUGAUUGUCCCUGCCAGCUGGCUAAUAUCAUAAUUAGCAAACUUGCUACUACAUCCGCAAAGUUUAAUCGAAAAAUUUACCAGUGGUACGAUGGCAUUGUCAUCAAGAUCACCAGGGUCUCGGAGUCGACUCCUGCUCCAGGUUGGAACGGCAAGCUAUGUAGCUGAAAAAUUGUGAAACUUGUUCAGCCAAA